UACGAAGGUGGCAAGCGUUGUUCGGAUUUACUGGGCGUACAGGGAGCGUAGGCGGUUGGAUAAGCCCUCCGUGAAAUCUCCAGGCUUAACCUGGAAAGUGCAGAGGGGACUGUUCAGCUCGAGGAUGGGAGAGGAGCGCGGAAUUCCCGGUGUAGCGGUGAAAUGCGUAGAGAUCGGGAGGAACACCUGCGGUGUAGACAGCUUUCUGGACCACUUCUGACGCUGAGACACGAAAGCGUGGGUAGCAAACAGG
RNAcentral lists this ribosomal RNA (253 nucleotides) under uncultured prokaryote. RNAcentral's name for it is "partial 16S ribosomal RNA". It matches the Rfam family "Bacterial small subunit ribosomal RNA", at positions 524 to 776 of the family's 1533-position model. The record is from RNAcentral.